Molecule: long non-coding RNA, 747 nt
Filed under: Malus domestica (apple)
Lineage: Eukaryota; Viridiplantae; Streptophyta; Magnoliopsida; Rosales; Rosaceae
Description: long non-coding RNA (MDOM_LNC009879)
Source: RNAcentral
UUGACAUUAAUUUUAAGUAGGAUCACAAUGUCCUGUUCACCCCGGCCUUCUUUAUUUCAGUUGCUAAACAAUAGUGAGCUACCCCAAAAUACUCAUUAUAAGUCUUUAUAAUGAUUAUUGGUCGGUUACAAGAGUUUUAUUUGGGGAAUGAUUUUUACAUCACUUUUUCUCCUCUAUCUACAUGAACAAGAUGUUUAUUUCCGAAGCACAAUACGGUACACCACGUCUUAUAACUUAAGUAUACAAUGGGGCGAGCAAAAGGGCUUCUCUGGCGCCCCAACCCCCGCAUCUCGACCCUUGUUACCUUAGGGGCAUCAACUUUGGCUCUUGUGCAUAAGGAAUCUACUCAGAACUGUCCUGCAUUCCCCUCUGAACCCUCCCGAUCUUUAGCAGUGGAAAUCGGGGAUGGGGGUUGGGUAAUAUUUGAUUAUGAGGACGAACGGGCCGGGACGCAGUCUGCAGGGGUACCCUAUGCAAGUCUAUGGGUUCGUUUGGAUGUGCUUUUAAAAUGACUGAAACCGUUUUUGGUGAAAAUGUUUUUGACACCAAUUCUUAGUAAAAAUCUAAGUGGAUCCUGGAAAAGCACUUUAAGUACUUCCGGUAAGAAGCACAUAUCUGGUGCUUCUUCCAAAAAGCACUUAAAGUGCUUUUGGAACUCAAAAUCAAUUUACCCAAAAGCACUUUCAGACAUUUUAAAAGCACAUCCAAACAAGCCCUAUCUCAUGUCAAGUGACUAUAUUAGUUAGG